Non-coding RNA from Mycena vitilis, 96 nucleotides. NCBI's taxonomy places the organism in Eukaryota, Fungi, Basidiomycota, Agaricomycetes, Agaricales, Mycenaceae. The record is from the annotation of a GenBank genome assembly.
UCGGACGUGGUGCGCGGUGCCCGCCUGUUUCUCAUUCCAAUGCCGAAAUAUUACGAGGAUAUGUGGGAGACCCGGGUUCGAAUCCCGGCGUUCGAA